RNAcentral lists this ribosomal RNA (301 nucleotides) under uncultured bacterium. Its description in RNAcentral is "partial 16S ribosomal RNA". It matches the Rfam family "Bacterial small subunit ribosomal RNA", at positions 509 to 807 of the family's 1533-position model. The record is from RNAcentral.
CAGUAGCCGCGGUAAGACAGAGGUCCCGAGCGUUGUUCGGAUUCAUUGGGCGUAAAGGGUGUGUAGGAGGCUAGGUAAGUCAGGUGUGAAAUCUCACAGCUUAACUGUGAAACUACGCUUGAUACUGCUUGGCUAGAGGAUCGGAGGGGGUAACGGAAUUCAUGGUGUAGCAGUGAAAUGCGUAGAUAUCAUGAGGAACACCGGUGGCGAAGGCGGUUACCUGGAAGAUUCCUGACUCUGAAACACGAAAGCCAGGGGAGCAAACGGGAUUAGAUACCCGAGUAGUCCCUGUCUCUUAUAC